AGCAGAGAGCAGAGCAGCAGAAAAUCAAAAUCAGAAAAACAAGUGAAAUCAAGGAGUAAAACCGUCCUUUUAGCUAUCGCUUUGGUUCGUUAGAACUGUGUUUGUUAGAAACUUUAUUACUGAAGAAGUCUUGGACGUUGAAACAAAGUUGGAGCUGUUUUCGUCGACCACGAGGGAAGCUGGACGCUGAGCGCACCUGCGGUGCUAAGUUCCACCCUGUAAAGACAGACGAGGUUAAUCUGAGCCUGAGAGCUGGAGACAGAGAUGUGACACCUGACAGGAGCCAUGUUUACUCCUACUUCACCUCCAGGACUCAGAGUUGAAGCAGGAAACAGUUGGAGUGACAGAGAGAAGAGACAGACAUGAAGAUUUCCACAAGGACUCAGAGUUGAAGCAGGAAACAGUUGGAGUGACAGAGAGAAGAGACAGACAUGAAGAUUUCCACAAGGACUCAGAGCUGAAGCAGGAAACAGUUAGAGUGACAGAGAGAAGAGACAGACAUGAAGAUUUCCACAAGGACUCAGAGUUGAAGCAGGAAACAGUUGGAGUGACAGAGAGAAGAGACAGACAUGAAGAUUUCCACAAGCUCCACCUCUUCACGCCUGAUGACAUCAUCUUCAUCUUCAUCUCCUCCUCCUCCUCCUGCAGAGACAACAACAUGUUUAUUAGUACUACUGCUACAAUUAAUUAGUACUGUCACCACUAUUAAUUACUAUAUUAAGCACCAUUAGUAACUACAAUUAGUUGUAAUUAAGUACUAUUUAUACUUUUACAUGGUACCAUUAA
Long non-coding RNA from Lates calcarifer (barramundi perch), 786 nucleotides. RefSeq lists it as uncharacterized. The record is from RefSeq and is a predicted model, not a curated record. The transcript has 7 exons. Lineage: Eukaryota; Metazoa; Chordata; Actinopteri; Centropomidae.